CCUACAGGUGGCAGCAGUGGGGAAUAUUGGACAAUGGGCGAAAGCCUGAUCCAGCCAUGCCGCGUGUGUGAAGAAGGCCUUCGGGUUGUAAAGCACUUUCAGUGGGGAAGAAAGCCUUGGGGCUAAUACCCUCGAGGAAGGACAUCACCCACAGAAGAAGCACCGGCUAACUCCGUGCCAGCAGCCGCGGUAAUACGGAGGGUGCGAGUGUUAAUCGGAAUUACUGGGCGUAAAGCGCGCGUAGGCGGUCUGAUAAGCCGGUUGUGAAAGCCCCGGGCUCAACCUGGGAACGGCAUCCGGAACUGUCAGGCUAGAGUGCAGGAGAGGAAGGUAGAAUUCCCGGUGUAGCGGUGAAAUGCGUAGAGAUCGGGAGGAAUACCAGUGGCGAAGGCGGCCUUCUGGACUGACACUGACGCUGAGGUGCGAAAGCGUGGGUAGCAAACAGGAUUAGAUACCCGUGUAGUC
RNAcentral lists this ribosomal RNA (465 nucleotides) under Vreelandella stevensii. RNAcentral's name for it is "partial 16S ribosomal RNA". It matches the Rfam family "Bacterial small subunit ribosomal RNA", at positions 338 to 795 of the family's 1533-position model. The record is from RNAcentral. Lineage: Bacteria; Pseudomonadati; Pseudomonadota; Gammaproteobacteria; Oceanospirillales; Halomonadaceae.